UGAGUAGGCGGCUGCAUAUGUCAGAUGUAAAAGGCACAGGCUUAACUUGUGUUAGCAUUUGAAACUGUGCGACUUGAGUGCAGGAGAGGUAAGUGGAAUUCCUAGUGUAGCGGUGAAAUGCGUAGAUAUUAGGAGGAACACCAGUGGCGAAGGCGACUUACUGGACUGUAACUGACGCUGAGUCACGAAAGCGUGGGUAGCAAACA
This 206-nucleotide ribosomal RNA is filed under the name uncultured Eubacteriales bacterium. RNAcentral's name for it is "uncultured Clostridiales bacterium partial 16S ribosomal RNA". It matches the Rfam family "Bacterial small subunit ribosomal RNA", at positions 568 to 774 of the family's 1533-position model. The record is from RNAcentral. Lineage: Bacteria; Bacillati; Bacillota; Clostridia; Eubacteriales.